AGCAGCCGCGGUAAUUCCAGCUCCAAUAGCGUAUAUUAAAGUUGUUGUGGUUAAAAAGCUCGUAGUUGAACCUCGGGCCUGGCUGGCCGGUCCGCCUCACCGCGUGUACUGGUCCGGCCGGGCCUUUCCCUCUGUGGAACCCCAUGCCCUUCACUGGGUGUGGUGGGGAAACAGGACUUUUACUGUGAAAAAAUUAGAGUGCUCCAGGCAGGCCUAUGCUCGAAUACAUUAGCAUGGAAUAAUAGGAUAGGACGUGUGGUUCUAUUUUGUUGGUUUCUAGGACCGCCGUAAUGAUUAAUAGGGACAGUCGGGGGCAUCAGUAUUCAAUUGUCAGAGGUGAAAUUCUUGGAUUUAUUGAAGACUAACUACUGCGAAAGCAUUUGCCAAGGAUGUACUCAUUAAUCAGGAACGAAAGUUAGGGGAUCGAAGACGAUCAGAUACCGUCGUAGUCUUAACCAUAAACUAUGCCGACUAGGGAUCGGACGGUGUUAUUUUUGACCCGUUCGGCACCUUACGGGAA
RNAcentral lists this ribosomal RNA (520 nucleotides) under uncultured Paraglomus. RNAcentral describes it as "SSU rRNA". It matches the Rfam family "Eukaryotic small subunit ribosomal RNA", at positions 569 to 1096 of the family's 1831-position model. The record is from RNAcentral. Lineage: Eukaryota; Fungi; Glomeromycota; Glomeromycetes; Paraglomerales; Paraglomeraceae.